CCUUUGACGUUAGCGGCGGACGGGUGAGUAACACGUGGGUAACCUACCUAUAAGACUGGGAUAACUUCGGGAAACCGGAGCUAAUACCGGAUAAUAUUUCGAACCGCAUGGUUCGAUAGUGAAAGGUGGUUUUGCUAUCACUUAUAGAUGGACCCGCGCCGUAUUAGCUAGUUGGUAAGGUAACGGCUUACCAAGGCGACGAUACGUAGCCGACCUGAGAGGGUGAUCGGCAACACUGGAACUGAGACACGGUCCAGACUCCUACGGGAGGCAGCAGCU
Molecule: ribosomal RNA, 279 nt
Filed under: uncultured Staphylococcus sp.
Lineage: Bacteria; Bacillati; Bacillota; Bacilli; Caryophanales; Staphylococcaceae
Description: partial 16S ribosomal RNA
Rfam family: Bacterial small subunit ribosomal RNA
Source: RNAcentral